CUUGAGCGGACCUCCGCUGGGAGGGCAUUCCAGCGGUCAGAGCCAAGGAAAGUGACAGAAAAUAAACCAUAGCGACGUUUGGCUGUCGGAUAAGGAUAUGACCUCCAACUUCUGUCGUCUGAUACUUCCGUGGAUAUCCGGAUCAUUUUGUUCAGUCGCGUUAGCAGCCUAACUGUCGAACCUGACAGCAGAUUAUGCCGAUGUACUCCGUGUGGUGUAGACCAGAUGUGUCCAUUGCAAGGAUGCGACUUACCCGCCGUGUAAUCCUCGUCCAGUGAUUGCCGUGCUGGACUUCAGUCCGCCAGUCUGUGAGCUGGCCACCGAGAAAGUUGAACGUUUGACCACGAGCAGAGAGAGCCCAAAUGACCCACCAACCAAUAUGCCCGAGAAAAAUGACUGCUACUCGAUUCAAUCAGGGUCGUAUCAUGUGAUUUUAAGGCCCUUAGUGUGCACUUUUUAGGAGAUGAAGAAUACUCGAAUACUCGAAUAUUCGAUCGGAGAAAAUCAGAGUACUCGAACUCGGGAUCUCAUUGCCAACUUUCACCCCUAGUUCACGGGGUACCUGGGGCAAAAAGUCGUACGGUCAGUACCGUAGUGACCUUACCGUGUGCGACGCCCCUGGUAUUGGAAUGCAUGUACAGGUUGUGUAGAGUGGCAUUGUGGCCGUGCCUGCAUGGCGCUGGUUAUCGGUUGAGGGUGCAACAUUCUUUGUCUGUUCUACCGCAGAGUUAUCAGAUUGGCCCUCGUGAAAUCAUUCUCACGUACAUUUGUACUUUGAAGUACUAAGAACAAAAAAGCGAAAACGCAACCUGCAUGCACACACGUGCACACGCACACGUGCACACACACACACACACACUCACCCCCCCCCCCCACACACACACCCACACAUGCGCGUGCGCACACACACGCACACACCGCCACACGCAGACUAACAAUGAUUUUUCACCGUGCCGUACAUAUUAUAAACAUUUGGGCAACUUUUUCUAAUCUUGUUGAAUGAUUUCUUUUCCUGCGUGUCUCAGAUGUCCCUGGCACAGCGCUAUGCCUCACGCGUCCACCGGAUCAACCUGGCCCAGCGUAUCGAUGAUCUAAUCGAUCAGAAAGCCCAGCAAGCUGAGUUUGAUGAGGAUGCCAGACUCAUUGCCGG
Sycon ciliatum is the source of this 1150-nucleotide long non-coding RNA. RefSeq lists it as uncharacterized. NCBI's taxonomy places the organism in Eukaryota, Metazoa, Porifera, Calcarea, Leucosolenida, Sycettidae. The transcript has 3 exons. The record is from RefSeq and is a predicted model, not a curated record.